AAAAAUGGGAGCAAUAAUUCAUAAAGAUUAGGUUCUGUCUUACAGGCAAUUUUUUGGAUUCAGUGCUGACUAACAGGCACAAUCUCGAUAGAUAGGCAGCAACCAAGUCACCAAACAUGGCAGAUCCAAAAUGAAAACUACGAGGCGGUUCGGCAUUCAUAAGAAUUCAGACAUAGGGAUUUAUCAGGGGACUAGUAAACCGGACGGUCCGCAUAUGAAUUAAAAGCGGUCUCUAACUCACUCUUCGCGGCGAAUCGACCUCUCUUUCCCACCGUCUGCGUAGAUGCGAACGUAGCACGCGUCAGGCCCCACGAUCUGGAAUGUCAGCAUGUCUCCGUUCUGCACGCCGUGCUGCUCGACGAACUGCACCCAUCCGUCCGUCAGGUACAUGGAGUCGCUCCCAUUAUUCACCCGAUUCAUUCAAGCAGACCACACACCAUCUCCAGUCCAGAGCUUGAUGUACCUUGGGCACGCCCCCUCCAUUUGUUCCUCCCAGCCGCCUGGGAUCCUCAUCCACGGCAUCUGCUUUUUUUUUUGAAACCGAGGCAAAAGAUUUGCCUCAUAUAUUAAUUAAGCAGAGAAGAGGUUUUGUUACAAUAGACACCCUUACCCGGCAUGAGUGAUUACUCGCGCGAAAUAAUGACCCCUAAUUUCUUUGCCCCGGCGGUGACCCAAAGCUUUGCCUCAUUGGUAAUGGAGGCUAGUAAAAUAGGCGGUGGAGCACACUUAUGCCGGAAGACCCGUGCAUUCCUUUCGUUUCAGACGGUCCACGACACGAGCAUAGUCAUCGAGGCCAUCGCCUUUCUGUCGGGUACUCCUGUGCCGGUCAAAUUUUCCCACCAACUCUUGACUGAAGCCUCCAAAUGCCAUGAAGAGGUGUCCAAAUGCGUAAGCUGAAAUUUCUCAAUGACCAUCUUCCAAAGACGGAUGGUGUAACGACACUUGGAAAAAAGAUGAGGACCGCUCUCUUGUUCCCUUUUGCAAAGAGGGCAAAGACCACAGUUCGGCCAACCCCGCUUGGCGAGCCUAUCCGCCGUCCAGAUUCUAUCUUGGGUUGUCAACCAAGCGAAGAACUUUGCCUUUGGAGGCGCUCAAGCCUUCCAAAUCAUGUGCUCCAUGGGGGAGAGAACUAGCCCGAGAAAUUGCGCUUGAUAUGCGGAGGCGGCGGUGUAGCACCCAUCGGCCGUGUGCUUCCAUAUAAUAGAAUCCUCGGAAAGCUCAUUAAGAUGAAAGUUGUGCAAGAGCAUCUGCUUGUUUUUCACCUUGAAGCGGAAGGUGCUGUAGGAGGAUUCACCGUGGAGACGUCCAACUUCAGCAGCUG
This 1321-nucleotide long non-coding RNA is filed under the name Triticum aestivum (bread wheat). RNAcentral's name for it is "long non-coding RNA (TAES_LNC027713)". Lineage: Eukaryota; Viridiplantae; Streptophyta; Magnoliopsida; Poales; Poaceae. The record is from RNAcentral.